CCCUUAGAUGUUCUGGGCUGCACGCGCGCUACACUGAUGCGUUCAACGAGUUUAUGACCUUGCCCGAUAGGGUUGGGUAAUCUUUUUAAAUCGCAUCGUGAUGGGGAUAGAUUAUUGCAAUUAUUAAUCUUCAACGAGGAAUUCCUAGUAAGCGCGAGUCAUCAGCUCGUGCUGAUUACGUCCCUGCCCUUUGUACACACCGCCCGUCACUCCUACCGAUUGAGUGAUCCGGUGAAUAAUUCGGACUGCAGCAGUGUUCAGUUCCUGAACGUUGCAGCGGAAAGUUUAGUGAACCUUAUCACUUAGAGGAAGGAGAAGUCGUANCA
This 326-nucleotide ribosomal RNA is filed under the name uncultured eukaryote. Its description in RNAcentral is "partial 18S ribosomal RNA". It matches the Rfam family "Eukaryotic small subunit ribosomal RNA", at positions 1470 to 1796 of the family's 1831-position model. The record is from RNAcentral.